GAUCAUGGCUCAGAUUGAACGCUGGCGGCAUGCCUUACACAUGCAAGUCGAACGGUAACAGGUCUUCGGACGCUGACGAGUGGCGAACGGGUGAGUAAUACAUCGGAACGUGCCCAGUCGUGGGGGAUAACUACUCGAAAGAGUAGCUAAUACCGCAUACGAUCUGAGGAUGAAAGCGGGGGGACCUUCGGGCCGUCGCGCGAUUGGAGCGGCCGGAUGGCAGAUUAGGUAGUUGGUGGGAGUAAAG
Molecule: ribosomal RNA, 247 nt
Filed under: uncultured bacterium
Lineage: Bacteria
Description: partial 16S ribosomal RNA
Rfam family: Bacterial small subunit ribosomal RNA
Source: RNAcentral